UCUGCCCUGCACUCUGGGACAAGCCCUGGAAACGGGGUCUAAUACCGGAUAAUACUGUUCCCUUCCUGGGGGAUGGUUGAAAGCUCCGGCGGUGCAGGAUGAGCCCGCGGCCUAUCAGCUUGUUGGUGGGGUAAUGGCCUACCAAGGCGACGACGGGUANCCGGCCUGAGAGGGCGACCGGCCACACUGGGACUGAGACACGGCCCAGACUCCUACGGGAGGCAGCAGUGGGGAAUAUUGCACAAUGGGCGAAAGCCUGAUGCAGCGACGCCGCGUGAGGGAUGACGGCCUUCGGGUUGUAAACCUCUUUCAGCAGGGAAGAAGCGAAAGUGACGGUACCUGCAGAAGAAGCGCCGGCUAACUACGUGCCAGCAGCCGCGGUAAUACGUAGGGCGCAAGCGUUGUCCGGAAUUAUUGGGCGUAAAGAGCUCNUAGGCGGUUUGUCACGUCGGGUGUGAAAGCCCGGGGCUUAACCCCGGGUCUGCAUUCGAUACGGGCAGACUAGAGUGUGGUAGGGGAGAUCGGAAUUCCUGGUGUAGCGGUGAAAUGCGCAGAUAUCAGGAGGAACACCGGUGGCGAAGGCGGAUCUCUGGGCCAUUACUGACGCUGAGGAGCGAAAGCGUGGGGAGCGAACAGGAUUAGAUACCCUGGUAGUCCACGCCGUAAACGUUGGGGAACUAGGUGUUGGCGACAUUCCACGUCGUCGGUGCCGCAGCUAACGCAUUAAGUUCCCCGCCUGGGGGAGUACGGCCGCANGCUAAAACUNAAGGAAUUGACGGGGGCC
This 784-nucleotide ribosomal RNA is filed under the name Streptomyces sp. RNAcentral's name for it is "bacterial SSU rRNA". It matches the Rfam family "Bacterial small subunit ribosomal RNA", at positions 125 to 921 of the family's 1533-position model. The record is from RNAcentral. Lineage: Bacteria; Bacillati; Actinomycetota; Actinomycetes; Kitasatosporales; Streptomycetaceae.